CACCUUGCUGGUCGGGGCCAUGGUUUAACGACGGCGGCAAGGGAAGAGGCUCCUACCGUGGGAUAGACCUGAAACAGGAGCGUGGGUGGCGAGGCUUAGAACCCAAGGUCGGAAAGUCUGGCGAGU
This 126-nucleotide non-coding RNA is filed under the name unclassified sequences. RNAcentral's name for it is "Betaproteobacteria-1 RNA". It matches the Rfam family "Betaproteobacteria-1 RNA". The record is from Rfam by way of RNAcentral.